Molecule: ribosomal RNA, 253 nt
Filed under: uncultured bacterium
Lineage: Bacteria
Description: partial 16S ribosomal RNA
Rfam family: Bacterial small subunit ribosomal RNA
Source: RNAcentral
UACGUAGGGUGCAAGCGUUGUCCGGAAUUAUUGGGCGUAAAGAGCUCGUAGGCGGUUUGUCGCGUCUGCUGUGAAAACUCGGGGCUUAACUCCGGGCCUGCAGUGGGUACGGGCAGACUAGAGUGCGGUAGGGGAGACUGGAAUUCCUGGUGUAGCGGUGAAAUGCGCAGAUAUCAGGAAGAACACCCGUGGCGAAGGCGGUUCUCUGGGACGGUACUGACGCUGAGACGCGAAAGCGUGGGGAGCGAACAGG